This 2929-nucleotide ribosomal RNA is filed under the name Bacillus anthracis (anthrax bacterium). RNAcentral describes it as "bacterial LSU rRNA". It matches the Rfam family "Bacterial large subunit ribosomal RNA". Lineage: Bacteria; Bacillati; Bacillota; Bacilli; Caryophanales; Bacillaceae. The record is from RNAcentral.
UUUGGUUAAGUUAGAAAGGGCGCACGGUGGAUGCCUUGACACUAGGAGUCGAUGAAGGACGGGACUAACGCCGAUAUGCUUCGGGGAGCUGUAAGUAAGCUUUGAUCCGAAGAUUUCCGAAUGGGGAAACCCACCAUACGUAAUGGUAUGGUAUCCUUAUCUGAAUACAUAGGGUAAGGAAGACAGACCCAGGGAACUGAAACAUCUAAGUACCUGGAGGAAGAGAAAGCAAAUGCGAUUUCCUGAGUAGCGGCGAGCGAAACGGAACAUAGCCCAAACCAAGAGGCUUGCCUCUUGGGGUUGUAGGACAUUCUAUACGGAGUUACAAAGGAACGAGGUAGACGAAGCGACCUGGAAAGGUCCGUCGUAGAGGGUAACAACCCCGUAGUCGAAACUUCGUUCUCUCUUGAAUGUAUCCUGAGUACGGCGGAACACGUGAAAUUCCGUCGGAAUCUGGGAGGACCAUCUCCCAAGGCUAAAUACUCCCUAGUGAUCGAUAGUGAACCAGUACCGUGAGGGAAAGGUGAAAAGCACCCCGGAAGGGGAGUGAAAGAGAUCCUGAAACCGUGUGCCUACAAAUAGUCAGAGCCCGUUAAUGGGUGAUGGCGUGCCUUUUGUAGAAUGAACCGGCGAGUUACGAUCCCGUGCGAGGUUAAGCUGAAGAGGCGGAGCCGCAGCGAAAGCGAGUCUGAAUAGGGCGUUUAGUACGUGGUCGUAGACCCGAAACCAGGUGAUCUACCCAUGUCCAGGGUGAAGUUCAGGUAACACUGAAUGGAGGCCCGAACCCACGCACGUUGAAAAGUGCGGGGAUGAGGUGUGGGUAGCGGAGAAAUUCCAAUCGAACCUGGAGAUAGCUGGUUCUCCCCGAAAUAGCUUUAGGGCUAGCCUUAAGUGUAAGAGUCUUGGAGGUAGAGCACUGAUUGGACUAGGGGUCCUCAUCGGAUUACCGAAUUCAGUCAAACUCCGAAUGCCAAUGACUUAUCCUUAGGAGUCAGACUGCGAGUGAUAAGAUCCGUAGUCAAAAGGGAAACAGCCCAGACCGCCAGCUAAGGUCCCAAAGUGUGUAUUAAGUGGAAAAGGAUGUGGAGUUGCUUAGACAACUAGGAUGUUGGCUUAGAAGCAGCCACCAUUUAAAGAGUGCGUAAUAGCUCACUAGUCGAGUGACUCUGCGCCGAAAAUGUACCGGGGCUAAAUACACCACCGAAGCUGCGGAUUGAUACCAAUGGUAUCAGUGGUAGGGGAGCGUUCUAAGGACAGUGAAGUCAGACCGUAAGGACUGGUGGAGUGCUUAGAAGUGAGAAUGCCGGUAUGAGUAGCGAAAGACGGGUGAGAAUCCCGUCCACCGAAUGCCUAAGGUUUCCUGAGGAAGGCUCGUCCGCUCAGGGUUAGUCAGGACCUAAGCCGAGGCCGACAGGCGUAGGCGAUGGACAACAGGUUGAUAUUCCUGUACCACCUCUUUAUCGUUUGAGCAAUGGAGGGACGCAGAAGGAUAGAAGAAGCGUGCGAUUGGUUGUGCACGUCCAAGCAGUUAGGCUGAUAAGUAGGCAAAUCCGCUUAUCGUAAAGGCUGAGCUGUGAUGGGGAAGCUCCUUAUGGAGCGAAGUCUUUGAUUCCCCGCUGCCAAGAAAAGCUUCUAGCGAGAUAAAAGGUGCCUGUACCGCAAACCGACACAGGUAGGCGAGGAGAGAAUCCUAAGGUGUGCGAGAGAACUCUGGUUAAGGAACUCGGCAAAAUGACCCCGUAACUUCGGGAGAAGGGGUGCUUUCUUAACGGAAAGCCGCAGUGAAUAGGCCCAAGCGACUGUUUAGCAAAAACACAGCUCUCUGCGAAGCCGUAAGGCGAAGUAUAGGGGGUGACACCUGCCCGGUGCUGGAAGGUUAAGGAGAGGGGUUAGCGUAAGCGAAGCUCUGAACUGAAGCCCCAGUAAACGGCGGCCGUAACUAUAACGGUCCUAAGGUAGCGAAAUUCCUUGUCGGGUAAGUUCCGACCCGCACGAAAGGUGUAACGAUUUGGGCACUGUCUCAACCAGAGACUCGGUGAAAUUAUAGUACCUGUGAAGAUGCAGGUUACCCGCGACAGGACGGAAAGACCCCGUGGAGCUUUACUGUAGCCUGAUAUUGAAUUUUGGUACAUUUUGUACAGGAUAGGCGGGAGCCUUUGAAACCGGAGCGCUAGCUUCGGUGGAGGCGCUGGUGGGAUACCGCCCUGAAUGUAUUGAAAUUCUAACCUACGGGUCUUAUCGACCCGGGAGACAGUGUCAGGUGGGCAGUUUGACUGGGGCGGUCGCCUCCUAAAGUGUAACGGAGGCGCCCAAAGGUUCCCUCAGAAUGGUUGGAAAUCAUUCGUAGAGUGCAAAGGCAUAAGGGAGCUUGACUGCGAGACCUACAAGUCGAGCAGGGACGAAAGUCGGGCUUAGUGAUCCGGUGGUUCCGCAUGGAAGGGCCAUCGCUCAACGGAUAAAAGCUACCCCGGGGAUAACAGGCUUAUCUCCCCCAAGAGUCCACAUCGACGGGGAGGUUUGGCACCUCGAUGUCGGCUCAUCGCAUCCUGGGGCUGUAGUCGGUCCCAAGGGUUGGGCUGUUCGCCCAUUAAAGCGGUACGCGAGCUGGGUUCAGAACGUCGUGAGACAGUUCGGUCCCUAUCCGUCGUGGGCGUAGGAAAUUUGAGAGGAGCUGUCCUUAGUACGAGAGGACCGGGAUGGACGCACCGCUGGUGUACCAGUUGUUCUGCCAAGGGCAUAGCUGGGUAGCUAUGUGCGGAAGGGAUAAGUGCUGAAAGCAUCUAAGCAUGAAGCCCCCCUCAAGAUGAGAUUUCCCAUAGCGUAAGCUAGUAAGAUCCCUGAAAGAUGAUCAGGUUGAUAGGUUCGAGGUGGAAGCAUGGUGACAUGUGGAGCUGACGAAUACUAAUAGAUCGAGGACUUAACCAUAUAA